Molecule: ribosomal RNA, 443 nt
Filed under: uncultured bacterium
Lineage: Bacteria
Description: partial 16S ribosomal RNA
Rfam family: Bacterial small subunit ribosomal RNA
Source: RNAcentral
CCUACGGGAGGCUGCAGUGGGGAAUAUUGGACAAUGGGGGGAACCCUGAUCCAGCGACGCCGCGUGAGUGAAGAAGUAUUUCGGUAUGUAAAGCUCUAUCAGCAGGGAAGAAAGAAAUGACGGUACCUGACUAAGAAGCCCCGGCUAACUACGUGCCAGCAGCCGCGGUAAUACGUAGGGGGCAAGCGUUAUCCGGAUUUACUGGGUGUAAAGGGAGCGUAGACGGCGAUGCAAGUCUGAAGUGAAAGGCGGGGGCCCAACCCCUGGACUGCUUUGGAAACUGUAUGGCUGGAGUGCAGGGGAGGUAAGUGGAAUUCCUAGUGUAGCGGUGAAAUGCGUAGAUAUUAGGAGGAACACCAGUGGCGAAGGCGGCUUACUGGACUGUAACUGACGUUGAGGCUCGAAAGCGUGGGGAGCGAACAGGAUUAGAUACCCCUGUAGUC